UACGAAGGGUGCAAGCGUUAAUCGGAAUUACUGGGCGUAAAGGGUGCGUAGGCGGUUCGUUAAGUCUGUUGUGAAAUCCCCGGGCUCAACCUGGGAAUGGCAAUGGAUACUGGCGGGCUAGAGUGUGUCAGAGGAUGGUGGAAUUCCCGGUGUAGCGGUGAAAUGCGUAGAGAUCGGGAGGAACAUCAGCGGCGAAGGCGGCCAUCUGGGACAACACUGACGCUGAAGCACGAAAGCGUGGGGAGCAAACAGG
RNAcentral lists this ribosomal RNA (253 nucleotides) under uncultured bacterium. RNAcentral's name for it is "partial 16S ribosomal RNA". It matches the Rfam family "Bacterial small subunit ribosomal RNA", at positions 524 to 776 of the family's 1533-position model. The record is from RNAcentral.